This 274-nucleotide ribosomal RNA is filed under the name uncultured bacterium. RNAcentral describes it as "partial 16S ribosomal RNA". It matches the Rfam family "Bacterial small subunit ribosomal RNA", at positions 523 to 796 of the family's 1533-position model. The record is from RNAcentral.
AUACGGAGGGUGCAAGCGUUACUCGGAAUCACUGGGCGUAAAGCGCGCGCAGGCGGCUAUUUAAGUUGGAUGUGAAAGCCUACGGCUCAACCGUAGAACUGCAUCCAAAACUAUUUAGCUAGAGUGUGGGAGAGGAAGAUGGAAUUAGUUGUGUAGGGGUAAAAUCCGUAGAGAUAACUAGGAAUACCAAAAGCGAAGGCAAUCUUCUGGAACACUUCUGACGCUGAGGCGCGAAAGCGUGGGGAGCAAACAGGAUUAGAAACCCUUGUAGUCC